AAUAAUUCAGCUUUUCAGUUUUUAGUUAUAAUGUUUGACUCUUCGUCUUAUUCAAAAAAUUUAUGAUUAAUAAUUUUAUUUUUAUUACAUGAUAAAACAUUAAUAGUAAUUUAUAUAUGACUAUUUUUUAAAAAAAUUUCUUGAAUUUUUUUAAAUAAGACGGAUGGUCAAACGUUCGACACAAAAACC
RNAcentral lists this microRNA precursor (189 nucleotides) under Oryza brachyantha (malo sina). Its description in RNAcentral is "MIR812 microRNA precursor family". It matches the Rfam family "MIR812 microRNA precursor family". The record is from Rfam by way of RNAcentral. Lineage: Eukaryota; Viridiplantae; Streptophyta; Magnoliopsida; Poales; Poaceae.